GAGUUUGAUCGUGGCUCAGGACGAACGCUGGCGGCGUGCCUAACACAUGCAAGUCGAGCGAAGAAACCCCUUCGGGGGUGGAUUAGCGGCGGACGGGUGAGUAACACGUGGGUAACCUACCUCAAAGAGGGGGAUAGCCUCCCGAAAGGGAGAUUAAUACCGCAUAAAAGGUGAAUACCGCAUGGUAAAUACCUUAAAGGAGCAAUCCGCAUUGAGAUGGGCCCGCGGCGCAUUAGCUAGUUGGAGGGAUAAAAGCCCCCCAAGGCGACGAUGCGUAGCCGACCUGAGAGGGUGAACGGCCACAUUGGAACUGGGACACGGUCCAGACU
Molecule: ribosomal RNA, 329 nt
Filed under: bacterium enrichment culture clone ALO1_GLFRUDD03FXNIZ
Lineage: Bacteria
Description: bacterial SSU rRNA
Rfam family: Bacterial small subunit ribosomal RNA
Source: RNAcentral